This 330-nucleotide ribosomal RNA is filed under the name Triticum aestivum (bread wheat). RNAcentral's name for it is "partial small subunit ribosomal RNA". The record is from RNAcentral. Lineage: Eukaryota; Viridiplantae; Streptophyta; Magnoliopsida; Poales; Poaceae.
AUGCGUAUGUUGAGAUGGAUGUGUGGCCACACGAGGAAGGAUCGAGUCCGGAAUGAUGAUAUACGAGAUAGAGUUGGGGUAGCACCAAUUGAGGAGAAGCUUGUCCAACAUUGUUUGAGAUGGUUUGGGCAUAUUCAGUGCAGGCCUCUAGAAGCUCCAGUGCAUAGCGGAUGGCUAAAGCGUGCGGAGAAUGUCAAGAGAGGGCGGGGUCGACCGAUUUUGACAUGGGAGGAGUCCGUUAAGAGAGACCUAAAGGAUUGGAGUAUCGACAAAGAGCUAGCUAUGGACAGGGGUGCGUGGAAGCUUGCUAUCCAUGUGCCAGAGCCAUGA